Molecule: long non-coding RNA, 1554 nt
Organism: Hordeum vulgare subsp. vulgare (domesticated barley)
Lineage: Eukaryota; Viridiplantae; Streptophyta; Magnoliopsida; Poales; Poaceae
Exons: 2
Source: RefSeq, a predicted model, not a curated record
UCGUCUAUUUCACCCACAGUCCCUCACCUGCCCUUAUCCAUUCGAACAAAAUCUGUCGGCUUGCAUCUGGUUGGUUCCUCCACUUCUUUGUGCCCUAGCCGUGGCUCCCAGCUCCCCGUCGUCGUCAAGCUCGUCGCCGCCGCCAUCAAGCUCGCCGCUCGCCAUGGUCUCCUGGAACAAUCUGCCAAGCUCCUCCUCGGACGGCGAUUCGGUCACUAGUCCGGCACCUACCACCAUUCUGUCUCUGAAUGAAGUGGCCUUGCAUCAGAACUUGAUGCUAGAUGUGACCACCUAGCAGUGUGUGAGAAGUGGGUGGCUUUUGAAUCAGUGGAUAGUGGCAGGAGGUUCCUAGGUUGUGGAUGCCCAUGAUUCAGUUAUGCCCAUGCUCAUGAGUCAGUUUCAAAAGGUUAAUUUUGCGAAGCUCAUGCUCAUGGUUUUGUGCUCAUGGUCAUGGUCAUGCUGAAAUCUGAAUGUAUGUAGUUCAUGAAUGCUCCUAGAUCAGUGAUGGAUGUAAAGUGAAUGUUUUAGUGAACUUUGUUGACAAUUAACAUAUUUUGCAGUUAAUAGUUAGCACUGAACUGAAUGUUUUCUUUGUUGAGAGUUAACUGAAUUUUUCAGUGAACUAAAUAUUAGCACUGGACUCUGAAUUUUACACUGAACUAAAUGUUAACAGUGAAAUGUGAAAUUUUGACUGAACUAAAAGUGAAAAGUGAACUAAAUCUUAGCAUUGAACUAAAAUUUGUGCACUUCAACUUUUUUGCACAGUUUUGCCUUAACUCUCUACUACCUUAUGUUUAAAUUGUGAGGAAGGGUCAAAAUGCAGCUAUGUGUAAUGGGUUGAUCAUGAGUGGCCUCCUCAACUGAAGAUGGCUUUAGGUAGCAUCUGGGACAUGUAUGAAGAUGAGAAGAAGCUGAGACUCAUGCAAAAUGUUGUUAAUGCUAAAGAAAACUUGUCGAUCCUGAAAGAGAAGGAAAAUAUGGAAGAAGAUGUGAGGUUUUUCAAGGUUGAUUUUUCUAAGAUGGUUGCUCACAUGGAGUGGGCAUUGGAACAACUAGGAAGCACAUAGAUUGCACUCACUAACCUAAAGGAAGAGCUAGAGAAGAAGAAGAUUUGUGAUAAGUCUACCACAAACAUCCAUCAGGUGGUUAGGGACAAGAAAAAGGAAGAGAGUGACUUGAUGAAGCAAGAGAGGGACCAUAUGAAGUAGAAUAGGGACAAAUUCAUGAAACAUAGGGGUAAAUUGGUGCAAGAGAGGGAUAAUUUGGUGUUAGAGAGGGAUCCGUUAAAGCAAGAGAAGAAGAAAUUAGAGUACAUGGUUGGUGAUCUCUUCAAACAUAAAGAGGGCACCAAGGGCAAGAUAAGAAGAUGAAGGAGAUCCUUGAUGAAUUAGAUUGAUGCAUUUGUGUUGUAUUGCUCACAUAAUUUGUAGUAGCUUUAAUUUAAUGAACUUGAGUUGAUUUUAGUAAUUUGUGUACUUGAUUAUGUGUGAACUUGAAGGUCUUUGAUCAUAUUUGUGUGCUGAAGUAUGUGUGAAGUUUAAGUGAUUUGAGUUA